Molecule: small RNA, 502 nt
Filed under: Histoplasma ohiense
Lineage: Eukaryota; Fungi; Ascomycota; Eurotiomycetes; Onygenales; Ajellomycetaceae
Description: hypothetical lncRNA
Source: RNAcentral
CUAACCCUCGCUGCUAAGCUAUCCCUCGCUGCUAAGCUAACCCUCGCUGCUAAGCUAACCCUCGCUGCUAAGCUAUCCCUUGCUGCUAAGCUAUCCCUCACUGCUAAGCUAUCCCUCACUGCUAAGCUAUCCCUUGCUGCUAAGCUAUCCCUCACUGCUAAGCUAUCACCACUGUCAACCUAUCUAUCGCUGCUAAUCAAUCACUGCUAAUCUAUCACUGCCAACCUAUCUACCGCGGCGAAUCUAUCCAUUGCUGCCAAUUUAUCUACCACUGUCAAUCUAUCUAUUGCUGCUAAUCUAUCACUGCUAAUCUAUCGCUGCCAACCUAUCUACCGCGGCGAAUCUAUCCAUUGCUGCCAAUUUAUCUACCACUGCUAAGCUAUCUCUCACUGCUAAGCUAUCCCUUGCUGCUAAGCUAUCCCUUGCUGCUAAUCUAUCUCUCACUGCUAAGCUAUCUCUUGCUGCCAAUCUAUUGCUGCUAAUCUAUCACUGUCAAUCAAUC